CCUACGGGUGGCAGCAGUGAGGAAUAUUGGUCAAUGGACGAGAGUCUGAACCAGCCAAGUAGCGUGAAGGAUGACUGCCCUAUGGGUUGUAAACUUCUUUUAUAUGGGAAUAAAACGUUCCACGUGUGGGAUUUUGUAUGUACCAUAUGAAUAAGGAUCGGCUAACUCCGUGCCAGCAGCCGCGGUAAUACGGAGGAUCCGAGCGUUAUCCGGAUUUAUUGGGUUUAAAGGGAGCGUAGGUGGAUUGUUAAGUCAGUUGUGAAAGUUUGCGGCUCAACCGUAAAAUUGCAGUUGAAACUGGCAGUCUUGAGUACAGUAGAGGUGGGCGGAAUUCGUGGUGUAGCGGUGAAAUGCUUAGAUAUCACGAAGAACUCCGAUUGCGAAGGCAGUUCACUGGACUGCAACUGACACUGAGGCUCGAAAGUGUGGGUAUCAAACAGGAUUAAAUACCCUUGUAGUC
This 460-nucleotide ribosomal RNA is filed under the name uncultured bacterium. RNAcentral's name for it is "partial 16S ribosomal RNA". It matches the Rfam family "Bacterial small subunit ribosomal RNA", at positions 338 to 795 of the family's 1533-position model. The record is from RNAcentral.